Molecule: ribosomal RNA, 425 nt
Filed under: uncultured bacterium
Lineage: Bacteria
Description: partial 16S ribosomal RNA
Rfam family: Bacterial small subunit ribosomal RNA
Source: RNAcentral
GUGGGGAAUAUUGGACAAUGGGCGCAAGCCUGAUCCAGCCAUGCCGCGUGAGUGAUGAAGGCCCUAGGGUUGUAAUGCUCUUUCACCGGUGAAGAUAAUGACGGUAGCCGGAGAAGAAGCCCCGGCUAACUUCGUGCCAGCAGCCGCGGUAAUACGAAGGGGGCUAGCGUUGUUCGGAAUUACUGGGCGUAAAGCGCACGUAGGCGGGGAUUUAAGUCAGGGGUGAAAUCCCGGAGCUCAACUCCGGAACUGCCUGUGAUACUGGGUACCUAGAGUAUGGAAGAGGUAAGUGGAAUUCCGAGUGUAGAGGUGAAAUUCGUAGAUAUUCGGAGGAACACCAGUGGCGAAGGCGGCUUACUGGUCCAUUACUGACGCUGAGGUGCGAAAGCGUGGGGAGCAAACAGGAUUAGAAACCCUUGUAGUCC